GACAGAGGGUGCAAACGUUUGUUCGGAUUUACUGGGCGUAAAGCGUGCGCAGGCGGCUUCGCAAGUCAGACGUGAAAUCCCCGGGCUUAACCUGGGAAUGGCGUUUGAAACUACGGAGCUGGAGUGUGGCAGAGGGAGGUAGAAUUCCACGUGUAGCGGUGAAAUGCGUAGAUAUGUGGAGGAAUACCGAUGGCGAAGGCAGCCUCCUGGGCCAACACUGACGCUCAUGCACGAAAAGCGUGGGGGAGCAAAACAGG
This 257-nucleotide ribosomal RNA is filed under the name uncultured bacterium. RNAcentral describes it as "partial 16S ribosomal RNA". It matches the Rfam family "Bacterial small subunit ribosomal RNA", at positions 524 to 776 of the family's 1533-position model. The record is from RNAcentral.